Molecule: long non-coding RNA, 1123 nt
Organism: Lycium barbarum (goji berry)
Lineage: Eukaryota; Viridiplantae; Streptophyta; Magnoliopsida; Solanales; Solanaceae
Exons: 4
Source: RefSeq, a predicted model, not a curated record
UGGACAAAGUAUCAAAAUUUAGCAUUUUCUGAAAAAUUUCACUAUCGUCUGGUCAUUAUUUAUAUUCUGAUCAUGUGCUUCUUGUAUCAUCUGUGUCAUCGUUGAUAGCGUGAUACCUUUUUGAACAGUUUAACAUGUGAAGAGUUUUUGUUCUUUAAACUGUUUGUGGAAAUUCUACAUUGAACCAAGCUCUUUCGAUCUAUUACAGUGAUUAUCCAUCUUCCUCUCUGUAAAGGGUUGUCAUCGCUUGAACGCAGUGAAGCUUACCCCUAUGUUGUGGCAUGUACAGAUGUUAUCGAGAGGCUUGACGUUUUGAGAGGCCGAGAAAUGGCUUCGUUGUACUCUUGGUCUUACAAGAGAAACUACAAGAAUGGAUUCGUCUGGCAUGAUCUUUGUGAAGCUGACCUCAUUCUUCCUGCUCAUGGUAAUGAAUAUGUUCUUAAAGGCUCAGAGCUUUUCAAUGAUCUGAUGCAGGUAUAUUAUACCUUCUUUAUAGCAAUGUAUGAUUUGAACCACAUGAUUGUUAGUGUAAUUGCAAGUGUCACUGCAAGAAAUAAGAACAAUGGAUGAGUUUGGCUGCAUUAAUUCUUCACUGGAAGUCCCUUGCAAAAUAGUUCUUUCCCUUUUAUUCUUUCUCUACAUAGGUCAUCACAAACUACCUCUCUAUCUUUACAAGGUAGAGGUAAGGUCUGCGUACACUCUACCCUCCCAGACCCACCUGGUGGGAUUAUACAGGGUAUGUUGUUUCAUUGUAUUUGGUGAAACAGAUCCACGGGCAAGAGUUGAACGCCAUUCAGAGUGGCGCUAAGAAAAUAAUCAUUUCUACUCCUACUUUUGUUUUGGUGUCAAUGAGAAGGUAUACGAGCCACUCCCUAGCAGUACUAUUAAUUGAUUCCUCUGCCGAAAGUUCUAAUACUAGCUUGUGCACUCAAGUUGUUGAUGGACCAUCGUUUGAAUGGAAAUUUACGUACAAUGGAAAUAAGAGAACACUAUGUUUGAGGAAACUUUACGUAUACAAUGCGCAUGUUCCUCAUUUAUGUCUUACUUAUAAAUAAUGUAAAGUUGGUUUUUCCACAUUGUUACUGCGUAAGUCGAUGUAAUUCUGAUUCUAAGAUACAAAAGA